Molecule: long non-coding RNA, 4474 nt
Organism: Oncorhynchus keta (chum salmon)
Lineage: Eukaryota; Metazoa; Chordata; Actinopteri; Salmoniformes; Salmonidae
Exons: 3
Source: RefSeq, a predicted model, not a curated record
CUGUCUCACAGCGUACUCUGGGCCUUUACGUGAUCAUUAAGGGUGUGUGUGCGUUUGUGUUUGUGUGCGUGUGUUAAAUAUGCUAAUAUUUUGACGGGAUUGCCACGGUUCCUUUUCUGCAGUUGACAAGCCACCUAUUCUUCAGCUGUAUAAUAUGUGAAGGAUACACUUCCCUUCAUCUCAUUUACAGUAACACAAAGUCACAUAGCAGAGAGUCUGUAUUCUUGGUAAGUAUAUUAAAUACACUAAUUAACUAGCUAUAAUGCUCCCUCUCCCGCAUAAAGAGUCUCCCUCCUCCCUGGUUAUCCAGAAGGUUCUUACUUAUGCCUGGCCCCUCUGCUCUGAAUUCACCACCACAGGCUUUACAGGAAUUUGGCAAGGCGUUCAUCUUGUUUCUGUGUUUUAUGAGUCUGAUGUGUACGUCUGUAAUUGCGGUUAUGGGUGAUUAAACUCCCAAUGCCCCUCAGGAUCCGCGGGCAGCUAUCGCUCAGCGUCAGGCCCACUGCAGGCUCCGGGCUCCCGGCUGCAGCCUGUAAUUGAUUCCUCUACAUGCGUCCCUGAAAUAAAGCUGAUUUAAAGAGCAUCGAAACAGCCCGUGAGUUUGGUGUGUGUUUUGCUAGCUCAACCUCUGAGAUGAGAGGCCCAUAGAUAAGAGAAAAGAGGACAGGUGUAAUUUUGGAAGAACGGUGUAGUCUGUUGUGUGUGUGAAACAGAGAUUGGGUGAGUGGAGAGAGGAAUGUGUGUACGCGUACAGUACAGUCUAUCAUGUUUAGGAAUUUAAUUUGUGUGUGUGUUAAUGUGUUUAUGCCCAUUCAGACCUGUGUGUGUGUGUGUGUAUCUUUGUAUGCGUACGGUUUGAUUCUCGGUGUGUGUAUAUACAAGGAAAAAGGGAGGCCUUGGGGCUUGCUAGCUUUCUGGACUAAUUGGCAUGGUAAUCAUGUCUCUGUGGGUGGGAUAGAGGAUAUGGGAUGAUGUGUGUGAUGGGAAGGUUCCAUGCCUUAUCUCUAGAGAGAGUGAGCGACCGCAGCCCCACUGAACUCCUCUGAUCUCCAGCUUGGCCUGACUCAGCUCCUCUUGCUGAGGGGAGCCUGUUUUCUCUGGUCCCCCAGUCAGACCACCACACUGUGACCCUGGCCCCUGAGGGAGGGAGGUGGAGGGGAGAGGAUGGAGUGAACAAAAGUGGAGAAGUAAUGGAAGGACAGAAUAGUUCCUAGAAUAGAGUGAGGAGAAGAUUAUUCGAGAGAAAGAAGAGAGGAUUGGAGAGAGGGCCACAGUGGAGCGUUGUUGAGCCCUGACUGUGGACCUCGGCUGAGGCUCCAUUUUGUCUAUGAAAGAGUAAAGCGUUUUCCUGUUGUGAUCGACAUUGUUGCUUCCUUCUUCUAUUUGGUCCACAUGAAGGUGGGACACUGAGAACACUGAGUUGAUGAUGAAGCAUUUUACUCUCCAGAACACUGAUUUCUCAAGACUAAGUAGUUUCCCUUUUUAAAGUUUGGCCGUUCAUGUGAUUUUCUGGAAAAACCCAAGUUGAAGUUCCUUUUGAAAGAAGUCUGGUUGGACUGUGUGUGUUUGUUGGCCUGCUGCCAGUAACAAUGGAAGCAUGGGGAAGUCUGCAGCCUCCCUCCAUGUCUUCUGUGCAACGCUGUUCAGAUUGACUCUGUCAGGCCAGCCUUUGAGGCCCGGGAUCCAGGUGGUCUGUACCCUGUGCCCCCGGGCCCUAUGUGCCCACAGACAUGCCAGGCAUCAGCAGCUUCCUCCUGGGGUGGCGGUGUCUUCCUGGACAAAUCACAACGCUCCAAACUGUGGGCAUAUCCAUCAGGAGCCAAUGAAAAACACCCGUUUCUCUGGAGCAAAACCCACAUUACUUGGUCUCUGUCGCCUAGCCAAUCAAAACACUCGAUUCAUGGGCAUUCGGGGCCUCGGAGGCACAGGCAAAUAAAUAUGAAUUUGAUCACAUGGGAAUAAACAUUUCCAGAAAAUGUAUUUACCAGUGAGAAUAUCACAUCAAAUGCACAUCAACGUUCCAUAGCGUGCCUUUAGAAAAGCAACCUUUAGACAGGACUGAGAGACCGUUGUUCUAUGGAGAGCGUUUCGAAGUGGGGAGGCAGGUAGCCUAGUGGUUAGAGCAUUGGGCCAGUAACUGAAAGGUUGCAAAAUCAAAUCCCAGAGCUGACAAGGUAAAAAUCUGUCAUUCUGAACAAGGCAGUUAACCCACUGUUCCUAGGCCGUCAUUGUAUUUAAGAAUUGUUCUUAACUGACUUGCCUCGUUUAAAAAAAAAGUAUGCCUGCCUUUUAAGAAGUAUUACAGGUUUGGAGUCAUUAAAGGCAGGGAGAGGAGUUUGGGAAUGGUGUGUGAGUGAGGAAUACAAGCAUGAAUUAUUAAGGAUUAGGCUCUUACAUCUUUGUUCUCUCCUAAAAUACAAGCUGUCCAGCUCUGCCAGGAGAAGAGAUGAGCUCUUCAAAAGGCAAGCUGAGCUUAGAUACACUGAAAAACCUCUGGGAUGGCUGAUCUUACCUGCUCACCAGGACUUUCUCAUAGGGGCUCAGAUAGGAGAAACAGAACUACAGAAAGGAUCUCCCCUCCUCUUGACUGACCUGUGACAAAAUACAACAUGAGGGUGUUGAGAUCAAGAUGUCUCAGAGGGGCACAGAUAGAUGACCAUCUGCUUCAGACAGGGGAGGCAGGUAGCCUAGUGGUUAGAGGCAGGUAGCCUAGUGGUUAGAGGCAAGUAACCUAGUAGUUAGAGGCAGGUAGCCUAGUGGUUAGAGGCAGGUAGCCUAGUGGUUAGAGGCAGGUAGCCUAGUGGUUAGAGGCAGGUAGCCUAGUGGUUAGAGGCAGGCAGCCUAGUGGUUAGAGGAAAGGCAGUCUAGUGGUUAGAGGCAGGUAGCCUAGUGGUUAGAGGCAGGCAGUCUAGUGGUUAGAGGCAGGUAGCCUAGUGGUUAGAAGCAGGUAGCCUAAUGGUUAGAAGCAGGUAGCCUAAUGGUUAGAAGCAGGUAGCCUAGUGGUUAGAGGCAGGUAGCCUAGUGGUUAGAGGCAGGCAGUCUAGUGGUUAGAGGCAGGUAGCCUAGUGGUUAGAGGCAGGUAGCCUAGUGGUUAGAGGCAGGUAGCCUAGUGGUUAGAGGAAAGGUAGCCUAGUGGUUAGAGGCAAGUAGUCUAGUGGUUAGAGGAAAGGUAGACUAGUGGUUAGAGGCAAGUAGUCUAGUGGUUAGAGGAAAGGUAGCCUAGUGGUUAGAGGCAAGUAGUCUAGUGGUUAGAGGAAAGGUAGCCUAGUGGUUAGAGGCAAGUAGUCUAGUGGUUAGAGGAAAGGUAGCCUAGUGGUUAGAGGCAAGUAGUCUAGUGGUUAGAGGCAGGUAGCCUAGUGGUUAGAGGCAGGUAGCCUAGUGGUUAAAGGCAGGUCGUCUAGUGGUUAGAGGAAAGGUAGCCUAGUGGUUUGAGGAAAGGUAGCGGGAAAGGUAGCGUAGUGGUUUGAGGAAAGGUAGCGGGAAAGGUAGCGUAGUGGUUUGAGGAAAGGUAGCGGGAAAGGUAGCGUAGUGGUUAGAGCAUUGGGCCAGUAACCAAAAUGUUGCUGGAAUGAAUCCCCGAGCUGACAAGGUACAAAUCUGUUGCUCUGCCCCUGAACAGUCAGUUAACCCACUGUUCCUAGGCCGUCAUUGAAAAUAAGAUUUCUUUUCUUAACUGACUUGCCUGGUUAAAUAAAGGUUCAACAGAAAAAUAUAUAUAUAUAUUUAAAAAACUGAAGGUAGUAUCUCUCCCUCCUCAUGACUGACGGAGACAUCAUUAAUGACUGUCUUGGGCAGAGAGUGCCUGUCUUGGGCAGAGAGUGCCUGUCUUGGGCAGAGAGUGCCUGUCUUGGCCAGGUUUAGUCUCUGAGACCUACUGUGCUCAACAGAAACCUUUCCCUGGAGUAAAUAAAGUCACUUGGUGGCGGAGAAUAAUUGCAUUUCACUUUCCAACACCUCUGUGUGCUCAGUGUUUGUGUUUUUGUUGUCUAAAUGCCAGUGGCAGCAGCAGCGAACGCUGGUCACGUCCCCGCCAGCACCCUCCUCCGCCUGCAGAAUGAAACAGAAACAUAAUGAGAGAGUGAAAACGUGAGCAGCAGAGGAACAGAGGGAGACAGAGGGAAAGAGAGGGAGAGUAAAGGAGGAAGAGGAGGAGGAGAGGAGAGAGGAAGCUGACACAGGCCUCUGGAGAUGCAGGCAGUGAACCGCCAGCACUGAGCCCAGUGCGUCUUCCCAAGACUUGAAAGACAGACUCUCCCAAACCGGGAUUAUCAUCCUCUAGGGACCCCCUCUGAUGAACAAACACACAGAGAGAGAGAGGAGAAAGGGAGAGAGAUGGAAAGAGAGAAAGAGAUGGAUGGAGAGAGAGAGAGAGAGAGAGAGAGAGAGAGAGAGAGAGAGAGAGAGAGAGAGAGAGAGAGAGAGAGAGAGAGAGAGAGAGAGAGAGAGAGAGAGAGAGAGAGAGAGAGAGAGAGAG